AGCACUUGCCUUCUGUAUGAUGAU
RNAcentral lists this non-coding RNA (24 nucleotides) under Cricetulus griseus (Chinese hamster). The record is from RNAcentral. Lineage: Eukaryota; Metazoa; Chordata; Mammalia; Rodentia; Cricetidae.